RNAcentral lists this ribosomal RNA (719 nucleotides) under uncultured archaeon. RNAcentral's name for it is "bacterial SSU rRNA". It matches the Rfam family "Archaeal small subunit ribosomal RNA", at positions 1 to 718 of the family's 1478-position model. The record is from RNAcentral.
UUCGCCCUUUUCCGGUUGAUCCUGCCGGACCUGACUGCUAUCGGAUUGAUACUAAGCCAUGCGAGUCAUUGUAGCAAUACAAGGCAUACGGCUCAGUAACGCGUAGUCAACCUACCCUAUGGACGGGGAUAACCUCGGGAAACUGAGAAUAAUACCCGAUAGAACAUUAUUCCUGGAAUGGUUUAUGUUUCAAAUAAUUUAUUGCCGUAGGAUGGGACUGCGGCCUAUCAGUUUGUUGGUGAGGUAAUGGCCCACCAAGACUAUUACAGGUACGGGCUCUGAGAGGAGUAGCCCGGAGAUGGGUACUGAGACACGGACCCAGGCCCUAUGGGGCGCAGCAGGCGAGAAAACUUUGCAAUGUGCGAAAGCACGACAAGGUUAAUCCGAGUGGUUUCUGCUAAAGGAACCUUUUGACAGUCAUAGAACCACUGUUGAAUAAGGGGUGGGCAAGUUCUGGUGCCAGCCGCCGCGGUAAAACCAGCACCUCAAGUGGUCAGGAUGAUUAUUGGGCCUAAAGCAUCCGUAGCCUGCUUUGUCAGUUUUCGGUUAAAUCCAUACGCUCAACGUAUGGGCUGCCGGGAAUACUGCACAGCUAGGGAGUGGGAGAGGUAGACGGUACUCGGUAGGAAGGGGUAAAAUCCUUUGAUCUAUUGAUGACCACCUGUGGCGAAGGCGGUCUACCAGAACACGUCCGACGGUGAGGGAUGAAAGCUGGGGGA